This 451-nucleotide ribosomal RNA is filed under the name Zoogloea sp. RNAcentral describes it as "bacterial SSU rRNA". It matches the Rfam family "Bacterial small subunit ribosomal RNA", at positions 9 to 508 of the family's 1533-position model. The record is from RNAcentral. Lineage: Bacteria; Pseudomonadati; Pseudomonadota; Betaproteobacteria; Rhodocyclales; Zoogloeaceae.
GAGUUUGAUCAUGGCUCAGAACGAACGCUGGCGGCAGGCUUAACACAUGCAAGUCGAACGCCCCGCAAGGGGAGUGGCAGACGGGUGAGUAACGCGUGGGAAUCUACCCAGUUCUACGGAAUAACCCAGGGAAACUUGGACUAAUACCGUAUACGCCCUACGGGGGAAAGAUUUAUCGGAAUUGGAUGAGCCCGCGUUGGAUUAGCUAGUUGGUGGGGUAAUGGCCUACCAAGGCGACGAUCCAUAGCUGGUCUGAGAGGAUGAUCAGCCACACUGGGACUGAGACACGGCCCAGACUCCUACGGGAGGCAGCAGUGGGGAAUAUUGGACAAUGGGCGCAAGCCUGAUCCAGCCAUGCCGCGUGAGUGAUGAAGGCCUUAGGGUUGUAAAGCUCUUUCAGUGGGGACGAUAAUGACGGUACCCACAGAAGAAGCCCCGGCUAACUUCGUGC